Pygocentrus nattereri (red-bellied piranha) is the source of this 391-nucleotide long non-coding RNA. RefSeq lists it as uncharacterized. The record is from RefSeq and is a predicted model, not a curated record. The transcript is spliced from 3 exons. NCBI's taxonomy places the organism in Eukaryota, Metazoa, Chordata, Actinopteri, Characiformes, Serrasalmidae.
UGGAAGUUGACUGUGAAUACGAGUGGUAGUCUAACCAGGUCUGUCAGAUUGUUGGGAAUGGGAAAACACUGGCGGCAGCUCUGCAUGCACUCGUCACUGAAACCUAUACAUACAAGAGUUGUGGUUUGAACUGAAGGUCUAGCUCUAGCAGUCACGGUCCAUCAGACAUGGAGUGCAUCAGCAACGUUGUGAGAGUACAGUCAUAAGAUGGUCGCCAUGUCACGCAUCCUCCCGGCUCUGAGAGACACUUGGACUCCAUUUCCCAGAAUCCUUUGGGAGAUCACAUUGCUCACCUGACUCCUGACCUCCAUGCUCCAAUCAGCGCUCACAGUCACCGGAAUACUAACUCUGUACACCUGUGUUGUUGUCAAAUGACCUUUGUAGUUUAGUG